CAGUCGCGUGCCCACACAAGUCAUUCUUCACAGUCUUGUGUGCAUUAGCGAGACCAAACGUGCCCAAGAACAUGGACUUCAUGAAAAAGAUAGCUACCGAUGGAAAGUUGGACAAGUUCGCUGACAAAGCAGCUGAUGCUGCAAAGGCGAAAGUUGGUGAAGUGCUCGAUGAAGCAGCACUCGAGGAGAAAGCAAAGGGAGUCGCUGCUGAGAAGAUCGGUGCGGUGGUAGACGGUGCAGAAGACAAGGCUUUGGGUUUUGGGAAAAAACUGUUUGGAUGACUUUUCCUCUUUCAGUAUAAUGUUGUUUGAUAUGAAAACAAUGUUUUUUGGGACCUGAUUAAAAAAUAUAUUUUGUCAAAU
Molecule: long non-coding RNA, 362 nt
Organism: Clupea harengus (Atlantic herring)
Lineage: Eukaryota; Metazoa; Chordata; Actinopteri; Clupeiformes; Clupeidae
Source: RefSeq, a predicted model, not a curated record